Molecule: unclassified non-coding RNA, 167 nt
Filed under: uncultured Chaetomium
Lineage: Eukaryota; Fungi; Ascomycota; Sordariomycetes; Sordariales; Chaetomiaceae
Description: sequence contains ITS1
Source: RNAcentral
CAGAGUUGCAAAACUCCCAAACCAUUGUGAACGUUACCUAUCCCGUUGCUUCGGCGGGCGGCCCGGGCCCCGUGCCCGGCGCCCCCCGGCCCCUCGCGGGCGCCCGCCGGAGGUAUCUAACUCUUGAACUUUUAUGGCCUCUCUGAGUCUUUGUACUUAAUAAGUCA